GGGACUAGUGAUCCGGCGGUGGCUUGUGGAAGCGCCGUCGCUCAACGGAUAAAAGGUACCCCGGGGAUAACAGGCUGAUCUUCCCCAAGAGUCCAUAUCGACGGGAUGGUUUGGCACCUCGAUGUCGGCUCGUCGCAUCCUGGGGCUGGAGUCGGUCCCAAGGGUUGGGCUGUUCGCCCAUUAAAGCGGUACGCGAGCUGGGUUUAGAACGUCGUGAGACAGUUCGGUCCCUAUCCGCUGUGCGCGUAGGAGUCUUGAGAAGGGCUGUCCCUAGUACGAGAGGACCGGGACGGACGAACCUCUGGUGUGCCAGUUGUUCUGCCAAGGGCAUGGCUGGUUGGCUACGUUCGGGAGGGAUAACCGCUGAAAGCAUCUAAGCGGGAAGCCUGCUUCGAGAUGAGGGCUCCCACCCACUUGAUGGGGUAAGGCUCCCAGUAGACGACUGGGUUGAUAGGCCGGAUAUGGAAGCACGGUAACGUGUGGAGUUGACCGGUACUAAUAGGCCGAGGGCUUGUCCUCAGUUG
Molecule: ribosomal RNA, 524 nt
Filed under: Streptomyces sp. SID8111
Lineage: Bacteria; Bacillati; Actinomycetota; Actinomycetes; Kitasatosporales; Streptomycetaceae
Description: partial 23S ribosomal RNA
Rfam family: Bacterial large subunit ribosomal RNA
Source: RNAcentral